UCAGACGAUGCGUCAUGCAUAUCAAUAAGCGGAGGAAAAGAAACUAACAAGGAUUCCCCUAGUAACGGCGAGUGAAGCGGGAAGAGCUCAAAUUUGAAAUCUUAAAGGGUUUCCCUUUACGAAUUGUAGUUUAAAGAAGUGUUUUCUGUUGAGGUUUUGGUAAAAGUUCUUUGGAAUAGGACAUCAUAGAGGGUGAGAAUCCCGUAUUUGACCUUUACUUUCAACUUUGUGAUACACUUUCAAAGAGUCGGAUUGUUUGGGAAUGCAGUCCAAAAUGGGUGGUAAAUUUCAUCUAAAGCUAAAUAUUGGCGAGAGACCGAUAGCGAACAAGUACCGUGAGGGAAAGAUGAAAAGAACUUUGAAAAGAGAGUUAAACAGUACGUGAAAUUGUCAAAAGGGAAGCAUUUGACACCAGUGUUGUUUUUCUGAAAAUCAAUUAAAGAACUGUUUAUGCUAAGUUGUUUAGACUUUAUCAGCUAUCUGUUUAGUUUUGAGCUUUUCUUUAAUGCACUUUUCAGUUAACAAGUCAACAUCAAUUUCUUUUGCUGUAAAAAAGCUUGAGGAAGGUGGCUUGAGAUUCGUCUUAAGUGUUUAUAGCCUCUUGCCUAUGCAGUCGGAGAGAUUGAGGUCUGCAGCGUAGAUCCUUCGGGGCUAAAUGCAUUUGUGCUAAGUUAUAGCAUUUUAUAGACAACUUGUUGACUAUGAUUUGUCUUGUAGCUUACUCGCUUAUGUUAUUUUACCUACGCUUAGGAUGUUGAAUCUGUGCGAGACUAC
RNAcentral lists this ribosomal RNA (774 nucleotides) under uncultured Neocallimastigales. RNAcentral's name for it is "partial large subunit ribosomal RNA". It matches the Rfam family "Eukaryotic large subunit ribosomal RNA", at positions 18 to 644 of the family's 3401-position model. Lineage: Eukaryota; Fungi; Neocallimastigomycota; Neocallimastigomycetes; Neocallimastigales. The record is from RNAcentral.